GUUGCUGGGCCUCUGUCCCUUCUCCAUUGGUGCCAGCUCUGAAGCAAUCUUUUCUGGGGCGCCUGCAAAGGACGGAUCUGUGGGUGGAACGAACUGAAAACGGAUUCAGUGACUCAUCCCGACUCUCGCACAUUCUAGCACAUCGCAUUCUAGAGACCGGAACGGGCGAGCAAAAGUAGUCCCUUCUCGGCGGUUCUGCGGAGGAAUUUCCUUGGGGCGGUGAACGCCGAUGACUAUAUAAGGACGCGCCGGGUGUGGCGCAGCUAGUUCCGUCGCAGCCGGGAGUGGGAUCGCAGUUCUUGUUCGUGUGUCGGUGUUAUCGCCACUUGACAAUGCAGAUCUUCGUGAAGACCCUGACUGGCAAGACCAUCACCCUCGAGGUCGAGCCCAGCGACACCAUCGAGAAUGUCAAGGCAAAGAUCCAAGAUAAGGAAGGCAUUCCUCCCGACCAGCAGAGGCUGAUCUUUGCCGGAAAGCAGCUGGAAGAUGGGCGCACCCUGUCUGACUACAACAUCCAGAAAGAGUCCACCCUGCACCUCGU
Molecule: long non-coding RNA, 541 nt
Organism: Mandrillus leucophaeus (drill)
Lineage: Eukaryota; Metazoa; Chordata; Mammalia; Primates; Cercopithecidae
Exons: 3
Source: RefSeq, a predicted model, not a curated record